This 305-nucleotide ribosomal RNA is filed under the name uncultured bacterium. Its description in RNAcentral is "bacterial SSU rRNA". It matches the Rfam family "Bacterial small subunit ribosomal RNA", at positions 337 to 659 of the family's 1533-position model. The record is from RNAcentral.
GCCUACGGGGGGCAGCAGUGGGGAAUAUUGCACAAUGGGGGGAACCCUGAUGCAGCGACGCCGCGUGAGCGAAGAAGUAUUUCGGUAUGUAAAGCUCUAUCAGCAGGGAAGAAAAUGACGGUACCUGACUAAGAAGCACCGGCUAAAUACGUGCCAGCAGCCGCGGUAAUACGUAUGGUGCAAGCGUUAUCCGGAUUUACUGGGUGUAAAGGGAGCGUAGACGGCUGUGCAAGUCUGAAGUGAAAGGCCGGGGCCCAACCCCCGGACUGCUCUGGAAACUGUACGGCUGGAGUGCAGGAGAGGUA